RNAcentral lists this ribosomal RNA (301 nucleotides) under uncultured bacterium. RNAcentral's name for it is "partial 16S ribosomal RNA". It matches the Rfam family "Bacterial small subunit ribosomal RNA", at positions 509 to 807 of the family's 1533-position model. The record is from RNAcentral.
CAGUCGCCGCGGGAAUACGUAGGUGGCAAGCGUUGUCCGGAAUUAUUGGGCGUAAAGGGCUCGCAGGCGGUUUCUCAAGUCUGAUGUGAAAGCCCCCUGCUCAACCGGGGAGGGUCAUUGGAAACUGGGAAACUUGAGUGCAGAAGAGGAGAGUGGAAUUCCACGUGUAGCGGUGAAAUGCGUAGAGAUGUGGAGGAACACCAGUGGCGAAGGCGACUCUCUGGUCUGUAACUGACGCUGAGGAGCGAAAGCGUGGGUAGCGAACAGGAUUAGAGACCCCCGUAGUCCCUGUCUCUUAUAC